RNAcentral lists this ribosomal RNA (489 nucleotides) under uncultured bacterium. Its description in RNAcentral is "bacterial SSU rRNA". It matches the Rfam family "Bacterial small subunit ribosomal RNA", at positions 8 to 518 of the family's 1533-position model. The record is from RNAcentral.
AGAGUUUGAUUAUGGCUCAGAAUGAACGCUGGCGGCAUGGAUUAGGCAUGCAAGUCGAACGUGCUCCCUUCGGGGAGAAAGUGGCGAAAGGGUGAGUAACACGUGAGCAACCUGCCUCCGGAUCCGGAAUAAUCCAGGGAAACUUGGUCUAAAACCGGAUGAAGACAUUGGUCCGCAUGGUCUAAUGUUAAAAUAUUUAUAGUCCGGAGAGGGGCUCGCGGCCCAUUAGCUUGUUGGCGGGGUAAUGGCCCACCAAGGCUACGACGGGUAGGUGGUCUGAGAGGAUGGUCACCCACACUGGGACUGAGACACUGCCCAGACUCCUACGGGAGGCUGCAGUCGAGAAUCUUCCGCAAUGGGCGCCAAGCCUGACGGAGCGAUGCCGCGUGAGGGAUGAAGGCCUUCGGGUUGUAAACCUCUGUCAUCCGGGACGAAAACAAUGACGGUACCGGAAAAGGAAGCCACGGCUAACCACGUGCCAGCCGCCGC